UUUUUUUUUUUUUUUUUUUUUUUUUUUUUUUUUUUUUUUUUUUUUUUUUUUUUUGUUUAAUGCACCUUUAA
RNAcentral lists this non-coding RNA (71 nucleotides) under Alexandrium minutum. Lineage: Eukaryota; Dinophyceae; Gonyaulacales; Pyrocystaceae. The record is from RNAcentral.